RNAcentral lists this ribosomal RNA (468 nucleotides) under uncultured bacterium. RNAcentral describes it as "partial 16S ribosomal RNA". It matches the Rfam family "Bacterial small subunit ribosomal RNA", at positions 28 to 507 of the family's 1533-position model. The record is from RNAcentral.
GACGAACGCUGGCGGCGUGCUUAACACAUGCAAGUCGAACGGAAAGGCCCUGCUUUUGUGGGGUGCUCGAGUGGCGAACGGGUGAGUAACAAGUGAGUAACCUGCCCUUGACUUUGGGAUAACUUCAGGAAACGGGGGCUAAUACCGGAUAGGAGCUCCUGCUGCAUGGGGGGGGUUGGAAAGUUUCGGCGGUUGGGGAUGGACUCGCGGCUUAUCAGCUUGUUGGUGGGGUAGUGGCUUACCAAGGCUUUGACGGGUAGCCGGCCUGAGAGGGUGACCGGCCACAUUGGGACUGAGAUACGGCCCAGACUCCUACGGGAGGCAGCAGUGGGGAAUAUUGCACAAUGGGCGGAAGCCUGAUGCAGCAACGCCGCGUUCGGGAUGACGGCCUUCGGGUUGUGAACCGCUUUCGCCUGUGACGAAGCGUGAGUGACGGUAAUGGGUGAAGAAGCACCGGCUAACUACGUG